AACGAACGCUGGCGGCAGGCCUAACACAUGCAAGUCGAGCGCGCCCUUCGGGGUGAGCGGCGGACGGGUUAGUAACGCGUGGGAAUAUACCCGACACUAAGGAAUAGCCUCUGGAAACGGAGAGUAAUACCUUAUACGCCCUUCGGGGGAAAGGAUUUAUCGGUGACGGAUUAGCCCGCGUUAGAUUAGAUAGUUGGGUGGGGGUAAGUGGCCUACCCAAGUCUACGAUCUAUAGCUGGUUUUAGGAGGAUGAUCAGCAACACUGGGACGUGAGACACGGCCCACGACUCCUACGGGAGGCAGCAGUGGGGAAGUCUUGGACAAUGGGCGGCAGGCCUGAUCCAGCCAUGCCGCGUGAGUGAUGAAGGCCUUAGGGUCGUAAAGCUCUUUCGCCAGAGAUGAUAAUGACAGUAUCUGGUAAAGAAACCCCGGCUAACUCCGUGCCAGCAGCCGCAGU
RNAcentral lists this ribosomal RNA (457 nucleotides) under uncultured Thalassovita sp. RNAcentral describes it as "bacterial SSU rRNA". It matches the Rfam family "Bacterial small subunit ribosomal RNA", at positions 29 to 521 of the family's 1533-position model. The record is from RNAcentral. Lineage: Bacteria; Pseudomonadati; Pseudomonadota; Alphaproteobacteria; Rhodobacterales; Roseobacteraceae.